CCUACGGGAGGCAGCAGUGGGGAAUUUUGGACAAUGGGCGAAAGCCUGAUCCAGCAAUGCCGCGUGAGUGAAGAAGGCCUUCGGGUUGUAAAGCUCUUUUGUCAGGGAAGAAACGGUGUGGGCUAAUAUCCCGCACUAAUGACGGUACCUGAAGAAUAAGCACCGGCUAACUACGUGCCAGCAGCCGCGGUAAUACGUAGGGUGCAAGCGUUAAUCGGAAUUACUGGGGCGUAAAGCGUGCGCAGGCGGUUUUGUAAGUUUGUCGUGAAAGCCCCGGGCUCAACCUGGGAAUUGCGAUGAAGACUGCAGGGCUUGAAUCUGGCAGAGGGGGGUAGAAUUCCACGUGUAGCAGUGAAAUGCGUAGAGAUGUGGAGGAACACCGAUGGCGAAGGCAGCCCCCUGGGUCAAGAUUGACGCUCAUGCACGAAAGCGUGGGGAGCAAACAGGAUUAGAUACCCUGGUAGUCCACGCCCUAAACGAUGUCUACUAGUUGUCGGGUUUUAAUUAACUUGGUAACGCAGCUAACGCGUGAAGUAGACCGCCUGGGGAGUACGGUCGCAAGAUUAAAACUCAAAUGAAUUGACGG
Molecule: ribosomal RNA, 586 nt
Filed under: uncultured bacterium
Lineage: Bacteria
Description: bacterial SSU rRNA
Rfam family: Bacterial small subunit ribosomal RNA
Source: RNAcentral